GACGAACGCUGGCGGCGUGCUUAACACAUGCAAGUCGAACGAUGAAGAAGAGAAACGCGAACUUCGGUUCAAAUUUCACUUCGGAUUAGUGGCAGACGGGUGAGUAACGCGUGAGCAACCUACCUCUUACAAAGGGAUAGCCUCGGGAAACCGUGAUUAAUACCAUAUGACACAUUCAUAAGGCAUCUUAAGAAUGUUAAAGCUACGGCGGUAAGGGAUGGGCUCGCGUCCCAUUAGCUAGUUGGUGAGGUAACGGCCCACCAAGGCGACGAUGGGUAACCGGCCUGAGAGGGUGAACGGUCACAUUGGAACUGAGACACGGUCCAAACUCCUACGGGAGGCAGCAGUGGGGAAUAUUGCACAAUGGAGGGAACUCUGAUGCAGCGACGCCGCGUGAGCGAUGAAGGAAUUCGUUUCGUAAAGCUCUGUUCUAUGGGAAGAAAAGGACUGUACCAUAGGAGAAAGCCCCGGCUAAAUACGUG
This 482-nucleotide ribosomal RNA is filed under the name uncultured bacterium. RNAcentral describes it as "partial 16S ribosomal RNA". It matches the Rfam family "Bacterial small subunit ribosomal RNA", at positions 28 to 507 of the family's 1533-position model. The record is from RNAcentral.